CUAUGCGCCUUGCCAGCCCGCUCAGGUGUGCCAGCCGCCGCGGUAAUACGGAGGAUGCGAGCGUUAUCCGGAUUUAUUGGGUUUAAAGGGUGCGUAGGCGGCUUAUUAAGUCAGGGGUGAAAGACGGUGGCUCAACCAUCGCAGUGCCCUUGAUACUGAUGAGCUUGAAUGGACUAGAGGUAGGCGGAAUGUGACAAGUAGCGGUGAAAUGCAUAGAUAUGUCACAGAACACCGAUUGCGAAGGCAGCUUACUAUGGUCUUAUUGACGCUGAGGCACGAAAGCGUGGGGAUCAAACAGG
RNAcentral lists this ribosomal RNA (299 nucleotides) under uncultured bacterium. Its description in RNAcentral is "partial 16S ribosomal RNA". It matches the Rfam family "Bacterial small subunit ribosomal RNA", at positions 475 to 776 of the family's 1533-position model. The record is from RNAcentral.